Molecule: ribosomal RNA, 465 nt
Filed under: uncultured Klebsiella sp.
Lineage: Bacteria; Pseudomonadati; Pseudomonadota; Gammaproteobacteria; Enterobacterales; Enterobacteriaceae
Description: bacterial SSU rRNA
Rfam family: Bacterial small subunit ribosomal RNA
Source: RNAcentral
CCUACGGGCGGCAGCAGUGGGGAAUAUUGCACAAUGGGCGCAAGCCUGAUGCAGCCAUGCCGCGUGUGUGAAGAAGGCCUUCGGGUUGUAAAGCACUUUCAGCGGGGAGGAAGGCGUUAAGGUUAAUAACCUUGGCGAUUGACGUUACCCGCAGAAGAAGCACCGGCUAACUCCGUGCCAGCAGCCGCGGUAAUACGGAGGGUGCACGCGUUAAUCGGAAUUACUGGGCGUAAAGCGCACGCAGGCGGUCUGUCAAGUCGGAUGUGAAAUCCCCGGGCUCAACCUGGGAACUGCAUUCGAAACUGGCAGGCUAGAGUCUUGUAGAGGGGGGUAGAAUUCCAGGUGUAGCGGUGAAAUGCGUAGAGAUCUGGAGGAAUACCGGUGGCGAAGGCGGCCCCCUGGACAAAGACUGACGCUCAGGUGCGAAAGCGUGGGGAGCAAACAGGAUUAGAUACCCCAGUAGUC